This 468-nucleotide ribosomal RNA is filed under the name uncultured bacterium. RNAcentral describes it as "partial 16S ribosomal RNA". It matches the Rfam family "Bacterial small subunit ribosomal RNA", at positions 28 to 507 of the family's 1533-position model. The record is from RNAcentral.
GACGAACGCUGGCGGCGUGCUUAACACAUGCAAGUCGAACGGAAAGGCCCUGAUUCUGUGGGGUGUUCGAGUGACGAACGGGCGAGUAAGUAGUGAGUGACCUGCUGUCGACUUUGGGAUAACUACUGGAAACUGGGGCUAAUACUGCAUAGUAGCUUCUGCAGCACGGAGGGGGUUGGAUUGUUUCGGCGGUAGGUGAUGGAUUCCCGGCUUAUCUGAUCGUUGGUGGGGUAGUGGCUUACCAAGGCUUUGACGGGUAGCCGGCCUGAGAGGGUGGCCAGCCACAUGGGGACUGAGGUACGGCCCAGACGCCUACGGGGGGCAGCAGUCGGGAGUAUUGUGCAAUGGUCGGGAGCCUGAUGCGGCGACGCCGCGGGCGUGAUGACGGCCCUCGGGUGGGAAACCGCGUUCACCUGUGACGAAGCGUGAGUGACGGUAAUGGGAAAAGAAGCACCGGCUAACUACGUG